AGUGAACGCUGGCGGUAGGCCUAACACAUGCAAGUCGAACGGCAGCACAGUAAGAGCUUGCUCUUACGGGUGGCGAGUGGCGGACGGGUGAGGAAUACAUCGGAAUCUACUUUUUCGUGGGGGAUAACGUGGGGAAACUAACGCUAAUACCGCAUACGACCUACGGGUGAAAGCAGGGGAUUUUGGGACCUUGCGCGAUUGAAUGAGCCGAUGUCGGAUUAGCUAGUUGGCGGGGUAAAGGCCCACCAAGGCGACGAUCCGUAGCUGGUCUGAGAGGAUGAUCAGCCACACUGGAACUGAGACACGGUCCAGACUCCUACGGGAGGCAGCAGUGGGGAAUAUUGGACAAUGGGCGCAAGCCUGAUCCAGCCAUACCGCGUGGGUGAAGAAGGCCUUCGGGUUGUAAAGCCCUUUUGUUGGGAAAGAAAAGCAGCAGGUUAAUACCCCGCUGUUCUGACGGUACCCAAAGAAUAAGCACCGGCUAACUUCGUG
Molecule: ribosomal RNA, 492 nt
Filed under: uncultured bacterium
Lineage: Bacteria
Description: partial 16S ribosomal RNA
Rfam family: Bacterial small subunit ribosomal RNA
Source: RNAcentral